AGGUGCGAUCAUAACAACACUAAUGCACAUGAUCCCAUCAGAAUUCCGCAGUUAAGCGUGCUUAGGCGAGAGUAGUAAUAGGAUGGGUGGCCUCUCGAAAAUUCCUCGUGUUGCACACC
RNAcentral lists this ribosomal RNA (119 nucleotides) under Brassica oleracea var. oleracea. Lineage: Eukaryota; Viridiplantae; Streptophyta; Magnoliopsida; Brassicales; Brassicaceae. The record is from RNAcentral.